Molecule: ribosomal RNA, 526 nt
Filed under: Enterovibrio norvegicus
Lineage: Bacteria; Pseudomonadati; Pseudomonadota; Gammaproteobacteria; Vibrionales; Vibrionaceae
Description: bacterial SSU rRNA
Rfam family: Bacterial small subunit ribosomal RNA
Source: RNAcentral
GACGGGGGCCCGCACAAGCGGUGGAGCAUGUGGUUUAAUUCGAUGCAACGCGAAGAACCUUACCUACUCUUGACAUCCAGAGAAUUCGCUAGAGAUAGCUUAGUGCCUUCGGGAACUCUGAGACAGGUGCUGCAUGGCUGUCGUCAGCUCGUGUUGUGAAAUGUUGGGUUAAGUCCCGCAACGAGCGCAACCCUUAUCCUUGUUUGCCAGCGAGUAAUGUCGGGAACUCCAGGGAGACUGCCGGUGAUAAACCGGAGGAAGGUGGGGACGACGUCAAGUCAUCAUGGCCCUUACGAGUAGGGCUACACACGUGCUACAAUGGCAUAUACAGAGGGCAGCGAGGCCGCGAGGUGGAGCGAAUCCCAGAAAGUAUGUCGUAGUCCGGAUUGGAGUCUGCAACUCGACUCCAUGAAGUCGGAAUCGCUAGUAAUCGUGAAUCAGAAUGUCACGGUGAAUACGUUCCCGGGCCUUGUACACACCGCCCGUCACACCAUGGGAGUGGGCUGCACCAGAAGUAGAUAGAUUA